GACGAACGCUGGCGGCGUGCUUAACACAUGCAAGUCGAACGGUAAGGCCCUUCGGGGUACACGAGUGGCGAACGGGUGAGUAACACGUGGGUGAUCUGCCCUGCACUUCGGGAUAAGCCUGGGAAACUGGGUCUAAUACCGGAUAGGACCACUGCCUGCAUGGGUGGUGGUGGAAAGCUUUUGCGGUGUGGGAUGGGCCCGCGGCCCAUCAGCUUGUUGGUGGGGUGAUGGCCUACCAAGGCGACGACGGGUAGCCGGCCUGAGAGGGUGACCGGCCACCCUGGGACUGAGAUACGGCCCAGACUCCUACGGGAGGCAGCAGUGGGGAAUAUUGCACAAUGGGCGCAAGCCUGAUGCAGCGACGCCGCGUGAGGGAUGACGGCCUUCGGGUUGUAAACCUCUUUCAGCACCGACGAAGCGCAAGUGACGGUAGGUGCAGAAGAAGGACCGGCCAACUACGUGCCAGCAGCCGCCGUAA
Molecule: ribosomal RNA, 478 nt
Filed under: uncultured bacterium
Lineage: Bacteria
Description: partial 16S ribosomal RNA
Rfam family: Bacterial small subunit ribosomal RNA
Source: RNAcentral